Marmota flaviventris (yellow-bellied marmot) is the source of this 386-nucleotide long non-coding RNA. RefSeq lists it as uncharacterized. The record is from RefSeq and is a predicted model, not a curated record. Lineage: Eukaryota; Metazoa; Chordata; Mammalia; Rodentia; Sciuridae.
UAAUUCCUGUUACCUGCGAUGCCCCGGGAGGAUUAUAACUGGACUGCCUGAGCCCAAGAGAAGUUCAUGAAAUAAGAAAGAGCGUGAUUGGUCAGCGGGGCGAGGGCGUGUGUCUGGAACUCUAUUAUUGGGGAAACUCUAAGGAGGACCGAGAUUUUGCCUGCGGAGCGCUGUGCUCUGAGCGGUAGCUGGUGAAGAAAACCUGGAGGAAUGCUGAGGAUCAAACCCAGGGCCUCUCAUAUGCUAAAAGGCUUUACCAUGGAGCAUCAUGACCAGACCCAGCAUUGCUGAUUCUCUUGACAACAGCUAGGAUAUUCUUGACACCCUAUAGUGACAUGGAAAGAUGGAGGACAGAGCUCCAUGCAGUAAAUGUUUAACCCCCUGAA